RNAcentral lists this long non-coding RNA (1525 nucleotides) under Salvia miltiorrhiza (redroot sage). RNAcentral's name for it is "long non-coding RNA (SMIL_LNC004440)". Lineage: Eukaryota; Viridiplantae; Streptophyta; Magnoliopsida; Lamiales; Lamiaceae. The record is from RNAcentral.
AAAAAAUACAAUUAUGCUGUUUGUAUUUAUAUUAUAAAUGUUGUUUUAAUUAUUAUUGUGUUAUAAUUUUUAAUGUCAUGUAAUUGAAAGUUGAUUUAUUUUUUAUUGCAAAUUAAAUCCCCAAAUUAACAAAAUUAGAAUAGAACCCAAAAUCAAGUAAAAAAUCAACGAAAUAAAUUAACAAACAAAGCCCAUGAUUAACAAAAAAUUUAACAAAAUUAGAAUAGAGCCCAAAUUAAUCUUCUUUUUCUUUCACCCAAAAUUAAUGAAAAAAAUCUAUAUUAAACAAAAGUAGAGCCAAAAAAUUAACAAAGCCCAUGAUUACAAACAAAUAAAUAAAAUAUUAUCAUUAUAAAAGGUAAGAGGCAGCCCUAAUUUCUUCAUCCUCAACCUGCGCCUCUCAUAUCUUCUUUUUCGUCUUUGUUUUGUUUUUCGACUUCUGCAUAAAUCUUCUUCUUCCAGCAACACAUCAAAAAUUCAAACAAAUAAAAUCCCUAAUAUCCUUCCCUUCAUCAGCAUCUCUUCUUCUGCUAAUAUUACAUAGCCAUUUAUUUUUUUCUCAUUUCUUCUUCCUUAAGUUCGUUCGCCCUCCCUCAGAAAUCUGCCGCUACGGCUCUUCCUCCGGUGAAGAGCCGUCGGCCGCCCUCUCUCUCAUCACACGCAGAGACGCACACACACACCUUAUCUCUCUCUCUCUCGCCUGACCAGACGCCACCACACACACAAGCACAGAUGGCGGCGCGCGCACACAGGCACCGGCGGCCAUCUCUCCGGCAAAUCGACAGCGGUGAGCCGCCGCGCCGUUCCAGAAUCCAGACCCCAAUCACAACCGCCGACUCCCUCAUUCGGAAACACCCUCUGGGUCUCCCUCUCUGUCUCGCAACUCUCCGAUCCGGGCGAAGACGCUGCCCCACACGGUGCUGACUCCUUCCUCGCGACGACAAAGAUGCCGCCGCCGCCCUCUUCGAUUCUCCGGCAACCGCGGCGGUGCCGAGGCUGCUGCCCUCCUUUCCCUGACUCGACUCAACUUGGAACUCACAGACGCGACUCAACUUAGCAAGUUCAAAGGCAGAGAAAUAAAAUCAAUGCUUCAAACUUCUACUUCUUCUUUCUUCUUUAUCAGUGAAAGCCAAGUUCUUGAAAUUGUUCAAGGUCUUUUUAGAGAAAAAAACUUGCCGCUUCUUCUUUCUCAUCUUUUUCUUCUUUAGUUGUCGUCGUUGUUUUGGGUGGUGUUGGUGGUUGCAGUAGCACUGACAAUGGCGAUAAUGGAAGACCAUGAUUGUUGUUUGAUUGCAAAUUUCAUCUUAUUUAUAGAGCCUCAAAAUGUGUAGGCUACGUAUACUUGUUCUCCAAGAACAUAUUAGGAAAUGACAUAUUAACAUAUAUUCUUGAUGAGCAAGUUUUGAAAGAGCUGAGGGAAAUUAUAAUCUAGUGGAUAAUUAGAUGAAUGAUAUUACAUGUUGAUUAACAGGCUUCUUCAUUUUCCCGCCAAAAUGGCCAUUUUGGCUAAGGUUGAGCUUUUAUA